This 218-nucleotide unclassified non-coding RNA is filed under the name uncultured fungus. RNAcentral describes it as "sequence contains ITS2". The record is from RNAcentral. Lineage: Eukaryota; Fungi.
AAUCUUCAAAGCGCAUCUUUUGUUAAUUCAGCUGGUGUCGCUUUGGACUUGGGGGUUUGCAGAUUCACGUCUGCUCCUCCUAAAAGCAUUAGCUGGAUCUCGGUAGACCUGGUUCCACUCGGCGUGAUAAGUAUCACUCGCCGAGGACACCCGUAAAAAAGGUGGCCAAGACUACAGAUGAGCCGCUUCCAACCGUCUUUCGGGACAACACACUUAUG